ACUCCUACGGGAGGCAGCAGUGGGGAAUAUUGCACAAUGGGCGCAAGCCUGAUGCAGCCAUGCCGCGUGUAUGAAGAAGGCCUUCGGGUUGUAAAGUACUUUCAGCAGUGAGGAAGGUGGGUAUGUUAAUAGCAUAUUCAUUUGACGUUAGCUGCAGAAGAAGCACCGGCUAACUCCGUGCCAGCAGCCGCGGUAAUACGGAGGGUGCGAGCGUUAAUCGGAAUUACUGGGCGUAAAGCGCAUGCAGGUGGUUUGUUAAGUCAGAUGUGAAAGCCCGGGGCUCAACCUCGGAAUUGCAUUUGAAACUGGCAAACUAGAGUACUGUAGAGGGGGUAGAAUUUCAGGUGUAGCGGUGAAAUGCGUAGAGAUCUGAAGGAAUACCGGUGGCGAAGGCGGCCCCCUGGACAGAUACUGACACUCAGAUGCGAAAGCGUGGGGAGCAAACAGGAUUAGAUCCCUGGUAGGCUCUGC
RNAcentral lists this ribosomal RNA (471 nucleotides) under uncultured bacterium. RNAcentral describes it as "bacterial SSU rRNA". It matches the Rfam family "Bacterial small subunit ribosomal RNA", at positions 335 to 800 of the family's 1533-position model. The record is from RNAcentral.